RNAcentral lists this ribosomal RNA (596 nucleotides) under Corethron sp. RNAcentral's name for it is "partial large subunit ribosomal RNA". It matches the Rfam family "Eukaryotic large subunit ribosomal RNA", at positions 34 to 639 of the family's 3401-position model. Lineage: Eukaryota; Bacillariophyta; Corethrophyceae; Corethrales; Corethraceae. The record is from RNAcentral.
UUAAGCAUAUUAAUAAGCGGAGGAAAAUAAACUAACAAGGAUUCCCCUAGUAACGGCGAGUGAAGCGGGAACAGUUCAUGCCGAAUCUGCACCAUUUUUUGUGUGCCGAAUUGUGGUCUAUAGAAGUGCCAUCAGUUGUGACCCAGGGAUAAGUCCCUUGGAAUAGGGCAGCAUAGUGGGUGACACUCCCGUUCAUGCCUUGGGUCUUCAAUUUGAGUAGGUACUCUCAACGAGUCGAGUUGCUUGGGAUUGCAGCUCAAAGUUGGUGGUAAAUUCCAUCUAAAACUAAAUAUUGGUGGGAGACCAAUAGUGCACAAGUACCAUGAGGGAAAGAUGCAAAGAACUUUGAAAAGAGAGUUAAAGAGUACCUGAAAUUGCUGAAAGGUAAGCAAAGGAAACCAGUGCCGCCGAUAUAGUAUAUUUCCUGGACCACUUGUGGUCUGGGCACUGUGCUACAUCAUGGGUUAUCGAGGGUUUGGGAUGUCUGAAUUGGUCCUGGAGGAUGUGUCCCCUUUUGGGGUGUUAUAUCUCUUGGAUUGGAAGGUGUCCUGGGCUGUUUGAGUCACGCAAGUGCUCAUGACGAUAUCAAAAUGGUU